GCGUCGUUCGUCUAAAGGUCAGGAUAUGGAGUUUUCGCCUCCAUGAUGUAGGGUUCGAGUCCCUCACGACGCGCCA
RNAcentral lists this transfer RNA (76 nucleotides) under Verrucomicrobiaceae bacterium. RNAcentral describes it as "tRNA-Glu". It matches the Rfam family "tRNA". Rfam says of the family: Transfer RNA (tRNA) molecules are approximately 80 nucleotides in length. Their secondary structure includes four short double-helical elements and three loops (D, anti-codon, and T loops). Further hydrogen bonds mediate the characteristic L-shaped molecular structure. tRNAs have two regions of fundamental functional importance: the anti-codon, which is responsible for specific mRNA codon recognition, and the 3' end, to which the tRNAs corresponding amino acid is attached (by aminoacyl-tRNA synthetases). tRNAs cope with the degeneracy of the genetic code in two manners: having more than one tRNA (with a specific anti-codon) for a particular amino acid; and 'wobble' base-pairing, i.e. permitting non-standard base-pairing at the 3rd anti-codon position. The record is from RNAcentral. Lineage: Bacteria; Pseudomonadati; Verrucomicrobiota; Verrucomicrobiia; Verrucomicrobiales; Verrucomicrobiaceae.